This 73-nucleotide transfer RNA is filed under the name Paramuricea clavata. It matches the Rfam family "tRNA". Rfam says of the family: Transfer RNA (tRNA) molecules are approximately 80 nucleotides in length. Their secondary structure includes four short double-helical elements and three loops (D, anti-codon, and T loops). The record is from Rfam by way of RNAcentral. Lineage: Eukaryota; Metazoa; Cnidaria; Anthozoa; Malacalcyonacea; Plexauridae.
GACCGCGUAGCUCAGUUGGCAGAGCAUUGGGCAAGUAUUCCAAAGGUCGUAGGUUCGACUCCCACCGUGGUCA